Molecule: ribosomal RNA, 828 nt
Filed under: uncultured bacterium
Lineage: Bacteria
Description: bacterial SSU rRNA
Rfam family: Bacterial small subunit ribosomal RNA
Source: RNAcentral
ACACAUGCAAGUCGAACGAGAAUCUGCUGAAGGAGGAUUCGUCCAACGGAAGCAGAGGAAAGUGGCGGACGGGUGAGUAACGCGUGAGGAACCUGCCUUGAAGAGGGGGACAACAGUUGGAAACGACUGCUAAUACCGCAUGACGCAUAGAGGUCGCAUGAUCUUUAUGCCAAAGAUUUAUCGCUUCAAGAUGGCCUCGCGUCUGAUUAGCUGGUUGGCGGGGUAACGGCCCACCAAGGCGACGAUCAGUAGCCGGACUGAGAGGUUGAACGGCCACAUUGGGACUGAGAUACGGCCCAGACUCCUACGGGAGGCAGCAGUGGGGAAUAUUGGGCAAUGGGCGCAAGCCUGACCCAGCAACGCCGCGUGAAGGAAGAAGGCUUUCGGGUUGUAAACUUCUUUUAAGAGGGAAGAGUAGAAGACGGUACCUCUAGAAUAAGCCACGGCUAACUACGUGCCAGCAGCCGCGGUAAUACGUAGGUGGCAAGCGUUGUCCGGAUUUACUGGGUGUAAAGGGCGUGCAGCCGGGUCUGCAAGUCAGAUGUGAAAUCCAUGGGCUCAACCCAUGAACUGCAUUUGAAACUGUAGAUCUUGAGUGUCGGAGGGGCAAUCGGAAUUCCUAGUGUAGCGGUGAAAUGCGUAGAUAUUAGGAGGAACACCAGUGGCGAAGGCGGAUUGCUGGACGAUAACUGACGGUGAGGCGCGAAAGUGUGGGGAGCAAACAGGAUUAGAUACCCUGGUAGUCCACACUGUAAACGAUGAAUACUAGGUGUGCGGGGACUGACCCCCUGCGUGCCGCAGUUAACACAAUAAGUAUUCCACCUGGGG